AAAAAUCCCCAAAAACA
This 17-nucleotide transfer RNA is filed under the name Sceloporus undulatus hyacinthinus. RNAcentral describes it as "partial tRNA-Phe". The record is from RNAcentral. Lineage: Eukaryota; Metazoa; Chordata; Lepidosauria; Squamata; Phrynosomatidae.